This 24-nucleotide non-coding RNA is filed under the name Arabidopsis thaliana (thale cress). Lineage: Eukaryota; Viridiplantae; Streptophyta; Magnoliopsida; Brassicales; Brassicaceae. The record is from RNAcentral.
AAGGAUCCCAAAACACAAAAAUGC